RNAcentral lists this transfer RNA (90 nucleotides) under Tilletia indica. It matches the Rfam family "tRNA". Rfam says of the family: Transfer RNA (tRNA) molecules are approximately 80 nucleotides in length. Their secondary structure includes four short double-helical elements and three loops (D, anti-codon, and T loops). The record is from Rfam by way of RNAcentral. RNAcentral also lists the same sequence under 1 other name. Lineage: Eukaryota; Fungi; Basidiomycota; Exobasidiomycetes; Tilletiales; Tilletiaceae.
CCCUUGAUAGCUCAGUUGGCAGAGCGGUAGACUGUAAUGGUAAAGCAAACAUAAAUCUAUAGGUCGCUGGUUCGACUCCGGCUCGAGGGA